UUGAACGCUGGCGGCAUGCCUUACACAUGCAAGUCGCACGGCAGCACGGGUGCUUGCACCUGGUGGCGAGUGGCGAACGGGUGAGUAAUACAUCGGAACAUGUCCUGUAGUGGGGGAUAGCCCGGCGAAAGCCGGAUUAAUACCGCAUACGAUCCACGGAUGAAAGCGGGGGACCUUCGGGCCUCGCGCUAUAGGGUUGGCCGAUGGCUGAUUAGCUAGUUGGUGGGGUAAAGGCCUACCAAGGCGACGAUCAGUAGCUGGUCUGAGAGGACGACCAGCCACACUGGGACUGAGACACGGCCCAGACUCCUACGGGAGGCAGCAGUGGGGAAUUUUGGACAAUGGGCGAAAGCCUGAUCCAGCAAUGCCGCGUGUGUGAAGAAGGCCUUCGGGUUGUAAAGCACUUUUGUCCGGAAAGAAAUCCUUGACUCUAAUACAGUCGGGGGAUGACGGUACCGGAAGAAUAAGCACCGGCUAACUACGUG
RNAcentral lists this ribosomal RNA (485 nucleotides) under uncultured bacterium. Its description in RNAcentral is "partial 16S ribosomal RNA". It matches the Rfam family "Bacterial small subunit ribosomal RNA", at positions 30 to 507 of the family's 1533-position model. The record is from RNAcentral.